AUGGAGCCGACCUUGAAAUACCACCCUUUAAUGUUUGAUGUUCUAACGUUGACCCGUAAUCCGGGUUGCGGACAGUGUCUGGUGGGUAGUUUGACUGGGGCGGUCUCCUCCUAAAGAGUAACGGAGGAGCACGAAGGUUGGCUAAUCCUGGUCGGACAUCAGGAGGUUAGUGCAAUGGCAUAAGCCAGCUUGACUGCGAGCGUGACGGCGCGAGCAGGUGCGAAAGCAGGUCAUAGUGAUCCGGUGGUUCUGAAUGGAAGGGCCAUCGCUCAACGGAUAAAAGGUACUCCGGGGAUAACAGGCUGAUACCGCCCAAGAGUUCAUAUCGACGGCGGUGUUUGGCACCUCGAUGUCGGCUCAUCACAUCCUGGGGCUGAAGUAGGUCCCAAGGGUAUGGCUGUUCGCCAUUUAAAGUGGUACGCGAGCUGGGUUUAGAACGUCGUGAGACAGUUCGGUCCCUAUCUGCCGUGGGCGCUGGAGAACUGAGGGGGGCUGCUCCUAGUACGAGAGGACCGGAGUGGACGCAUCACUGGUGUUCGGGUUGUCAUGCCAAUGGCACUGCCCGGUAGCUAAAUGCGGAAGAGAUAAGUGCUGAAAGCAUCUAAGCACGAAACUUG
This 617-nucleotide ribosomal RNA is filed under the name Escherichia coli. RNAcentral describes it as "partial 23S ribosomal RNA". It matches the Rfam family "Bacterial large subunit ribosomal RNA", at positions 2180 to 2796 of the family's 2925-position model. Lineage: Bacteria; Pseudomonadati; Pseudomonadota; Gammaproteobacteria; Enterobacterales; Enterobacteriaceae. The record is from RNAcentral.